UCUUUCUAAUUAAUUCUUGAAUUAAACUCUUUUAAUUCUUAUAAAUUUAUAAGUCAAGAUUGAUGUUUAGCAAUGUGUCAUGACUAUCCAAAAGAGAUAAAAUUUGAUAAAAAUAUCAAAAAUAUCCUUCAGUGGUAAGUUACCAUGUAAUUCAAUCCUUCAGUCAAACAACACCCCAGAUAAGCUUUGGGCAUGGAAUCAUGUCAAGCCCAAUUAUUUAUCUAAAUGUAUCUCGAUUAGAAGGUGAUAAAUCAGUUGAUGAUGCAUUAAAAAUCUCUUUCUAAUUAUCAUCUUGCUUUGGCCAAAGACUUCCAAAAUCAUCCACC
Molecule: long non-coding RNA, 326 nt
Filed under: Elaeis guineensis (African oil palm)
Lineage: Eukaryota; Viridiplantae; Streptophyta; Magnoliopsida; Arecales; Arecaceae
Description: long non-coding RNA (EGUI_LNC060697)
Source: RNAcentral